GGGGGGGGGGGGGGGGGGGUAUUUAGUCAAUAGAUAUGUUAUUAAAAUGAAUGUGCAUUAUGCCAAAACCCACACAAAGUAAUAGUAGAAUGGGAAGUUUUUCAAACACAAGUACAUAAAUGAUGAGAAAUGCAUGCUCAUUUUAUAGCAGAAAUGUUUGCUAAUGCCAAUAAGUAAUGUUAGCAAAUUAGAAAUGAACCUAUGUCGCAGUUCACAUGUAUGGAAACAAAAACAUGACAAGAAAUAUUGUGUGUGGGGGAACUCAGUGUGAUAACUUUGGCAACGUCACUACUAACAUGGGCUGAUAGUGACCAGAGAAGAUGAUGGCUAUUAUGUGUUCACUGGACAAAAUCUUCAAGGCCAAUCUCAAAUCAAAAUCUCUUUUAGUUAUAAUAUUUAACAUUGGAAAAUAUUUUUAUUAAGAUGCAUUUCAAUGUUUAAAUAAUUAUGACUACAGCUCAAUAAGAAGUUUAAAAAAAAAAAAAAAGACAAGAACAACAGAUUUGUAACAUUUUUUACAAAAAAGCUUUAAGUUGAUUAAAACUUAGACAAUCAGCAAGACCAAAGAAAACAAAAAACUUUCAUACAGGAUUUUUCAAUUCAUACGCACACUUAAAUAUGUCUGGGUUUAAUUGAUUUUAUUUUUAUUUUUUUAUCUUAAUGUUUCAAAUCUAUGAUUAAAAUUCAAAUUUAAGAUCAAAUAGAAAAUAAUGAUGUCACAUAUAAAGUUUACCCGUUCCUGUGUCGUACAUUUCACAACGGUUGCUAGGGAUAGAACGGGGGACAACUCCAUUUCCCCUAAUCUAGUCAACUGAAGAAUAUUAAGUGCAGGAGUAACAAUGGCAGUGUUGACAUCUGGCUCUUUGGAGCGCCAUACUUAGCCCUUCAACCAUAUUCUCAUCUCUUUCAAAACAGAUGAUAAGAUAAGAGAAGUAGAAGAUAAUCUGUUUCAAUCAGAAUUAUUACAAGUGUUUGUUAGCAUUAUUUUGAGUUGUUUAAUAAAUAGAUUAGUUUUGCGUGUCAC
This is a non-coding RNA of Biomphalaria pfeifferi, 1024 nucleotides long. NCBI's taxonomy places the organism in Eukaryota, Metazoa, Mollusca, Gastropoda, Planorbidae. The record is from the annotation of a GenBank genome assembly.